Molecule: transfer RNA, 71 nt
Filed under: Xenopus laevis (African clawed frog)
Lineage: Eukaryota; Metazoa; Chordata; Amphibia; Anura; Pipidae
Rfam family: tRNA
About the family: Transfer RNA (tRNA) molecules are approximately 80 nucleotides in length. Their secondary structure includes four short double-helical elements and three loops (D, anti-codon, and T loops).
Source: Rfam by way of RNAcentral
GGGGAUGUAGCUCAGUGGUAGAGCGCAUGCUUUUCAUGUAUGUGGCCCCGGGUUCAAUCUCCAUAUUUCCU